CAACACCCUGUCUGACAUCCACAAUGUCUUUCAUACAAACCUGCUCCAACCCGCGGUCAAGGAUCCAUUCCCCUCACAGAGAACCUCCGAUUGACAGCCACUCACCAUCAUAGAAGAAAACAACAAACUCAAGUGAGAAAUCAAAGCAAUCCUUGACAAUAGAACCAACCACCACCACCGUGAAUACCUCAUCAAAUGAGUAGAAUACAAUCAUCCAACCUGGGAACCCGCAUCCACCUUGGAGGACACCACCGCCCUCGACAUCUACGAGUCCUCACUCACCCCAGUAGAAGGGGAUAAUGUGACAGGUUAGCAUCUGUUAGUAAUUAACUUAUGCAACCAACUCCCCUUCUGCACCCACUUGUUUCUGGCUGUUGUCAUCUUGCAUAACCCUCAAUGUUCUUCCACUCCGUGCUCUGUGCUUGCAUAGUUUCUAACAAUUCUUUCAUGUAGCUCUUAACAUUCUUCUGUUCCAUGCUCUGCACUCACAUAGUCUCUAAUGAUUCUUCCACAUAGCUUCUUACAUUCUCCCACUCUGUGUUCCACACUCAUAUAGUCUCUAAUGAUUCUUCUGCAUAGCUUCUUACAUUCUCCCACUCUGUGUUCUGCGCUCGUGAAGUCUCUAAUGAUUCUUCCACAUAGCUCUCAAUGAUUCCUCCACCCCACAUUCCACACUUGUGUAACUUCUAACAAUUCUUACAUGUACUCCUUAAUGUUCUUCCACUCUGCACUCCACUGUGGAGCAGCUUCUGAUAUUCUUCCACCCCGAACUUUCCCCUAUA
RNAcentral lists this small RNA (782 nucleotides) under Histoplasma ohiense. Its description in RNAcentral is "hypothetical lncRNA". Lineage: Eukaryota; Fungi; Ascomycota; Eurotiomycetes; Onygenales; Ajellomycetaceae. The record is from RNAcentral.